UACGUAGGUGGCAAGCGUUGUCCGGAUUUAUUGGGUUUAAAGGGUGCGUAGGCGGCUUUGUAAGUCAGUGGUGAAAUAUCCCGGCUUAACCGGGAGGGUGGCAUUGAUACUGAUGGGCUUGAGUGCAGUCGAGGUAGGCGGAAUUGACGGUGUAGCGGUGAAAUGCUUAGAUAUCGUCAAGAACACCGAUAGUGUAGACAGCUUACUAGGCUGUAACUGACGCUGAGGCACGAAAGUGUGGGGAUCAAACAGG
RNAcentral lists this ribosomal RNA (253 nucleotides) under uncultured bacterium. RNAcentral describes it as "partial 16S ribosomal RNA". It matches the Rfam family "Bacterial small subunit ribosomal RNA", at positions 524 to 776 of the family's 1533-position model. The record is from RNAcentral.